GAAUGUGAGGGCGAGCUGGCUGCGACAUCUGUCACCCCAAUGAUCACUAUGGUCGAUUUGAUUUGAUUGAUUUGGCUGGCUAAGUGGGUGUCCCCUUCCUCUCUCAAUGCUUCCUGUGUGUCCUUCUGGAAGCUUUAUGCUUGGAGGUAGAGGACGGCCUUCCCCAAAUGGAGAUUGACACUUCCUUGGUCGAGGGUGUGCAGGUAGCUGCACUUCCCUGCUAGAACCUCCAAACAAACUCUCAAGAGUACUCUAACCAUCUGGGGAGUAAAAGUUACAUAUCACAGAAUUGGUUUUUAU
This 300-nucleotide small nuclear RNA is filed under the name Erinaceus europaeus (western European hedgehog). RNAcentral describes it as "7SK RNA (ENSEEUG00000020644.1)". It matches the Rfam family "7SK RNA". Rfam says of the family: 7SK was discovered as an abundant small nuclear RNA in the mid-70s but a possible function has only recently been suggested. Two independent studies have found that 7SK RNA binds the CDK9/cyclin T complex (known as elongation factor P-TEFb). P-TEFb activates transcription by phosphorylating the C-terminal domain of RNA polymerase II. The record is from RNAcentral. Lineage: Eukaryota; Metazoa; Chordata; Mammalia; Eulipotyphla; Erinaceidae.